UCCUUGAGCUCCACCUUCUCAUACUUGACGU
Molecule: non-coding RNA, 31 nt
Filed under: Rattus norvegicus (Norway rat)
Lineage: Eukaryota; Metazoa; Chordata; Mammalia; Rodentia; Muridae
Source: RNAcentral